AGCGGAUGUUGGGUUAUGAUGAACUCGUUACUCCUGUAGUAGCCCAUGAUAUAAGAGGCAUUAAUGUAAUCAGUUCCCUUCAUUCCAGGCAGUGGUGCCAAGCCCACUCUAGCACGCUCAGAUGGCACGACUGAUGAGUUCCUGUUCUUCUCUUUGUUGCAGUCUUUCUGAGCACUGAAGCAUUCCACAUAUUUUGCAUUACACUGUGUAACCAGCUUGAACUGUUUUUCUAAUCGUGUCUUUCCC
Molecule: long non-coding RNA, 246 nt
Filed under: Gallus gallus (chicken)
Lineage: Eukaryota; Metazoa; Chordata; Aves; Galliformes; Phasianidae
Source: RNAcentral